RNAcentral lists this ribosomal RNA (484 nucleotides) under uncultured bacterium. Its description in RNAcentral is "partial 16S ribosomal RNA". It matches the Rfam family "Bacterial small subunit ribosomal RNA", at positions 30 to 507 of the family's 1533-position model. The record is from RNAcentral.
AUUGAACGCUGGCGGCAGGCCUAACACAUGCAAGUCGAGCGGAUGAAGGGAGCUUGCUCCUGGAUUCAGCGGCGGACGGGUGAGUAAUGCCUAGGAAUCUGCCUGGUAGUGGGGGAUAACGUCCGGACACGGGCGCUAAUACCCCAUACGUCCUGAGGGAGAAAGUGGGGGAUCUUCGGACCUCACGCUCUCAGAUGAGCCUAGGUCGGAUUAGCUAGUUGGUGGGGUAAAGGCCUACCAAGGCGACGAUCCGUAACUGGUCUGAGAGGAUGAUCAGUCACACUGGAACUGAGACACGGUCCAGACUCCUACGGGAGGCAGCAGUGGGGAAUAUUGGACAAUGGGCGCAAGCCUGAUCCAGCCAUGCCGCGUGUGUGAAGAAGGUCUUCGGAUUGUAAAGCACUUUAAGUUGGGAGGAAGGGCAGUAAGUUAAUACCUUGCUGUUUUGACGUUACCAACAGAAUAAGCACCGGCUAACUUCGUG